Molecule: long non-coding RNA, 2267 nt
Filed under: Homo sapiens (human)
Lineage: Eukaryota; Metazoa; Chordata; Mammalia; Primates; Hominidae
Description: non-protein coding lnc-VCAN-1:24
Source: RNAcentral
AGACCCACCGGCAGACAGGCGGACCGGGCGCUCGGCUGUCGCUGUUCUCCGCGCGGCGGCUGCGGGGCUUCUGACUUGGAGAACAAUGAAGCGUGAGCUGGAGGGGAGCGAGCGGGCCGCCGGGAGCGCACUGUGUACAAACAGAGGCGGCGUGCGUGUGAGUCUGAGCCUGGCAGGCGCGCUCCCCACUCCCCCGGCGCCCGCCCGCCCUCCGCCCGCCCUGUUAUUCACUCCCCGGGUCUCCCCCUCCUCUCUCUCUCUUUUGCUCUCUCUCUCUGUCUCUCUUUUGCUCUCUCUCUCCUUCCUCCCUCCUCCCCUCCUCUUUCAGCUCCUUCUGCUAUAAGAGAAAAGGGAGACAACUGCAGCCACACCCUAGCACCUAGCACCUGCCACCACCUCUGAAGUUCCUGCAUUGCCUGUACCUUCUCCGCACAUGCUGGAGACUGUGGGGUUAAGAGCUGCACCCUUGCUGCCUGAGAGUCCCUUGGAUUCCAGCACUGACUUUAUAAUUAACCACGUUAAGGAUUCCCCUGAACUUCCUUUCUCAGUAUAACCAGGAACAGAAGUUAAGAGAUUUUGAAAAGUGACUCUUGGGGCACAAAACUGCAUGAGAGACAGAACCCUGCAAAGUGAAUUGCCCCGUAUUUCUCAGGAACUGCAACGUAGUCAGCAACCAGACCCUAAUCAGCUAAGACAGGGCUGCUCUGCUGCUCUGUCUACAAUUUAGUUAGCUCCAGGGCUGGGGAGAGAGGGUUGUGGGCUCAUCUGUUCACGGGGGCAAAAGGGUGGAAGUGAGUAGGAGACAUGCAUCUCGUUAAGCAGGACAUCUGUUUCAGAGAAGAAGUGGGGCAAGUUUGGGAACUGUGCAAGAACAUAAAGGCAAAGACAGACCCUUGAAGCAUCACUAAGGUGGAUCAAAUUUUCUUUCUAUCCGCCAAAAUAAAUGGACUGGUUUUUGCAGUGGAAGUGAUUGAACCAAAAAUACAGCUCAUGGCUUACAAUUGUGCUUUCUUCUCUGUUUUUCGGUUAGAAUGAUUGCUUAUUGUACAUGGAUCCAAUUCCAGCAGUUACAGAGAGGGAGGUAGGGAGAGAGACAAACACAGAGCUAGAGAAAUUGAAAGAGAAACAUUCUCGAAGGCAAAGAGUUGAAAGGUGAAUCUACUAAGAAAAGAAUAACAGAGUGCAAUUAGCCAUGGAACUACAUCUCCAUCUGCCUCCUUUAAAGGAUGAGUCCUUUAAAGAGCCUUUGGAAGGAAUUGGGCCAUGAGAAGAGCCCUCAUGAAUGGGAUUAGUUCCCUUAUAAGAAGAGACACCAAGGAAGUGAUCUUUCUCUGCCCUCUGCUAUGUGAAGACAAGGUAAGAAGACAGCUAUGAACCAAGAAGCAGGCCCUUACCAGACACCAAAUCUGCUGGUGCAUUGAUCUUGGACUUCUCAGCCUCCAGGACUGUGAGAAAUAAAUGUUUAUUGUUGAAGCCACCCAGUCUACAGUAAUUUGUUAUAGCAGCUGAAAUUGACUAAGACAAUUUAAAAAAAUUAAUCUCAUUGACUAUCAAUUUGGAUUCUGGAGCAUACCUGGAUUCAGGUCAUCUGCAGUUUUUUGUUGUUGUUGAUGAUCUUCCUGUCAUAGACAAUGCUGUAACAAACAGACUAAUUGUUCACUGUUGACAUAUAGAAGUACUACUGAUUGGCCAGACAUAGUGGCUCAUGCCUGGAAUCCCAGCACUUUGGGAGGCCAAGGCAGGUGGAUCACUUGAGCCCAGAAGUUUGAGACCAGCCUGGGCAACAUGAUGAAACCCCAUCUCUACAAAAUAAAUAGAAAAAUUAGCUGGGUAUGGUGGCAUGUGCCAGUAGUCCCAGCUACAUGGGAGCCUGAGGUGGGAGGACGACUUGAGCCCAGGAGGUGGAGGUUACAGUGAGCUGAGAUCAUGCCACUGCACUCCAGCCUGGGUGACAGAGUGGGACUCUGUCUAAAAAAAAAAUUGUAUUAUCUGUAAACGGAAAUAUAAAUAAUUUAACUUCUUCUUUUCCAAUUUGGAUUCCCUUUAUUUCUUUCACCUGUAUGAUUGCUUUAGCUAGAGCUUCCGGUAAUAUGUUGAAUAACAGUGAUGACCAGUGGGCAUCCUUGCUGUGUUCCAGAUCUUAGAGAAAAGACUUUCAGUUUUUUUCCCCAUUUAGUAUAUGAGCUGUGGACCUGUAAUAUAUGGCUUUUAUUAUGUUGAGGUAUGUUACUUCUAUACCUAGUUUUCUUAGGUUUUGUUUUUUUUUA